UUACAAAAAUAUAACUUCACAUAUACUCACAAUCUGUGUGAAUAUUUAUGUGAUUUUAGCAGAAAGGUUCAACAAUGCGAUUGUAGAGAUGAAGCGAGUGUCAACAUUUUAAAUUUAUACAACGCCACUAAGAAUCUUAGUCUGUGCGUCGAAGAUAUUAAGAAACUCUGCUCUGUUGACCCCAACAUUGGAGAUCCUUGUGAUUGUAAAGUAGAAUGCAG
This is a long non-coding RNA of Biomphalaria glabrata, 221 nucleotides long. RefSeq lists it as uncharacterized. NCBI's taxonomy places the organism in Eukaryota, Metazoa, Mollusca, Gastropoda, Planorbidae. The transcript is spliced from 3 exons. The record is from RefSeq and is a predicted model, not a curated record.